Molecule: non-coding RNA, 8643 nt
Filed under: Cordylochernes scorpioides
Lineage: Eukaryota; Metazoa; Arthropoda; Arachnida; Pseudoscorpiones; Chernetidae
Source: RNAcentral
CACACACAAGGUAAUAAGACCAAAUUCAAAUAGUCUGUGACAUUUUGGUAACAGCAUUGUUACCGAAACGUCACACCAUUUAUAUAUUUGGAUUUGGUCUUAUUACCUUGUGUUUAUAAUAUAUAAUACAAAUUGUGCCUUAUCAUGAUGAAAAUUAUGAAACUAUUUUUAAAUGCUAUUUUUCUUUUAAAAUAUAAUUAAUAUUAUAUCUAGAGCCCUUAUCCUAAAAUGAAUAAAAAUAAUUUUUCUGCUUUUCACAUGUGUGGACACGUGGUGCACUUAUGGUAAAAGCAGUCGCCUACUAUUGAUUAUCAUGGCCUGUACCCUGUAAACUAAGGAUGGGCAAAAAAAAAAAGAUUUUUUGUCAAAUAUAUUUUAAAUUAGAUAUACAUUUCUACAGUCCUAGACAUAUGUCCAUAGUUUGUUCAAAACACCAUUUUACUGUAUUCAAUAGCAAGUGGAGGGUUUAGAAGAACUCAGUCUAAUACAAUAUUGAUGAGGUCUGGAGAAUAAAAGGGCAAACCCACUGGGAGGUUUCACCACUGAUAAGCCAUACUUCCCUCUUUCAAUUUUUAAUAAUCACAGGAUAAGGGCUGUAGAAAUAAUUUUAAUUAUAUUUGUUUAAAAAGAAAAUAAUGGUAAAAAUAUAUAGUUUUUUUGUCAGUUCUUAUAAUUUAAGUGUAUCUCUAUUUCAGCUUGUUUGAUAGAGGUAUUCAGUUUGAAAAAUGCCAAAUGAGUUUUACAAUAUGACAACAAAAGAAAUUUCUAUUAAUAGAGGUAUAUAACAUUUCAACUCAUGUUCUAUAUUUACAACUGUAUAAUUGAAGUAAUCACAUAUUUUUUGGUGGAGUAUGUAAAAAUAAGCACAUACUGGACAUUUAUAAUAAUAAUCUUUUUAUUCAGAUACUAGCGGAUGUGUACCCGGCUUCGCCCGGGUUUUAUCCAAGUGAAAGUUUGCCUAACGAAAAUUAUUGAUAAUAAUAUUGCUGAACACACAGAAUAUUAUGAUAAUAAUAUUCGUUACAUUAUAUAUUUAUAUAAUAUGUUUUCUUGGCCGACUGUUUUACAUAUGGUGUUAUCUUAAAAUUGUUUGUUUUGAAUAUUUUUUUAGAUUGAGAUUAUUAGCUAGUAUGUAAAAAAAUUAACUCUGUUUAAUUUUUUUUUGUAUUUAUAUAUAAAUAAAAUUAACUCUGUUGAUUUUUUUUUGUAUUUAAUCGAUAACACCGAAGUUACGCAUGUUAAUGUUAGGAAAAAUAUUUUGAUGUUAAGCAAAACCUGCUCCAUCUCGUUUUACAUAAAUGUUGAAAAUUUGGUCGAAAUUGAUGCAUUGUAACGAAAGUUUUUAGCGAACAACACUUAUGAAAUUUGCAUUUUAUUAAUAUAGAUACAAAGAGACAAAAGUACAUUUUUAAAUGGACAAAGAAAUAUGUCAACUCAAAUUCACAAUGUUCACACUUAAAAGGAAUUUCGUCAGUGUUCUUUCAAAUGUCUUUUAAGCAUACAUUUCUUAAUCUAUAUACAGUAUAACCUCGUUAAUUCGACACACGCAAAUUCGACACUCUACCUUAAUUCGACCAUAUUCUGAUGUCCCGACCUCCGGCCUAUCAAUAACAAACCGUAAUUCGACAGUUCCGAUAGUUCGACCAUUUAAAAAUUCUAAUUUCGACAGUUGAAUGUUUUUUUACAUACAACUUUACCACUAAAUGGUAUUACGGCGGCGCCGAUAGGAUCGCGUCUGCGCACUUUUGGUUUCUGUUAGUUUAAGUUUCACUUUGCAGUGCCGAUGCGCAAUGUCGCGAGUGUUAUUGUUUUGUUAGUUUUUUCAAAUGGGAAUUUAGGCUUCGUGCUCUAAUUGAUAAUAUUAUUUUCUUUAAAAUUUUCAGUAUUGAAAUAUUUUAGUUAUUUUAAAAUUUACAAAUAAUUUAUUUUUAAAUAAAUAAAUCUUCAUAAAAUGUAGCCACAAUUAUUAUGAAAACAUUUUAUUUCAAUAUUCCAUUUCCAUGUUAUUAUAAAAGAUUUAAACACAAAAUCAAUAACACCCGCAGCAGCAGUGGAGAUGCCUUCAAUACAAUAAAAGCUCUUUGUUAUUUAAAACACAUUCCAGAGGAAGAAAGACAUGCAUUGUUUUUUUUUUUUAAAUAGACCAUCUGGAAUACAUUUUGAAUAGGAUUUCAGUGAAAAAGCAGACAUCUAUAAAGGAAUUUUUAAAAAGAUAUUCAUGAUUUUUUUAAAUACACCUAUCCCCCGAUUUACACGGUUUUCCAAAUAAGUUUUUUUUUUAUCGCACUAUACUAAAUGCUACUGUGAUAGAACACAUGCGCUGUGUACACAUCUCACGAGGAAUCCCGAGCUUAUGUGCUGACUACAUAUUUUAACCUGUCAAUGCAUUUUAUUUUUAUUUCUGUGUACACCUAUCCCCCGAUUUACACGUUUUUCUCAGGAACGUAUCUACCGUGUAAAUCAGGGGAUAGGUGUAUAAUUUUAAAAUUUUCUUUUUAUUUUCCAUAUUUAUUUCCUUUCAACUGCUAUACUCUUCAAUUAGAAUAAAUUUUAUUUUUAAUUAUUUAUGUUUCAAAAAUAUGUAUUAUUGCCAUUUUGUCCCUGAUACUAAAAGUUUCUUCCUCUGAAAUGUCUUUUAACACUUUGAGGAACAUUGGUUUCACAACCCAAAUAGCCCCGUGAACCAGGGUAAAACUUGAUUUUUAAAAAAAAUCAUUUUUAUAAAAAUAUAUUACCUUGAACAGUGAAAUUUGAUGCUUGUAUCAAAAUAUGUCUAUAAAACACAAAAAUGCAAUAAAAAAUAUAUGUUUAUUGGCACUUUUUCAAAAUAAAAAAAGAACUAAAAAAAUGCAAACUGCCAAAAAAAAACGCCACUGUUCGUAAAAAAAAAAUAAUCAGAGGAAAUUAUUAAAAUUUUUACAUUUAUAUACUUGUUAUUCCCAGUACUUCGUUUCUGUAUGGUACUUUUCGAAGCACUCUCCAACGCAAAGUGGAAUCUUGCAUUGUUUGCACUCAAAUCUGGUGUCCUUCCGGGCUGCCUUCCCAGUCUUGUGCUUUGCACUAUCUGCACAAACUUUGCACCUUCUUUGCACUGCUUUUCCACUUUCUGGGGCUAUUUUAUAGCAGUAGUGCUUCCCAAGUAGCCUGGCAACAUCAGUUUUCGAAGUUGUUUCUUUUUCAGAGUGUUCAAUGCUUGCCUGAUUGAGCAACUCCCCACCGACAGCCAGAUAGAAGUCCUUCAGACUUAUUUUUUUAUCAGGAUUUGCUUUAUUGUAAAUGAUGUUGCCAUUUACAAAACAAAGUGAAAAAAGAUGGAAGAAUAUUUUUUUCCACCAUUUCAAUGUUUUCCUGCUAAAAGAAUAAUAUGCCAUCAUCUGAUCGCUCCGGUCCACUCCUACCUUCCCCUUGUUGUAAUCGAUGACAGCAUCAGGCUUGAACAACUCUUCUCUGGUUGGGGUUUUGGGCUUGACUGGCAUCAUUUUACCUUCAUGGACAGUGGAGAGCAUGAAAACAUCUCUAACAUCUUUCCAUUUGAUGGCUAAAAGAUGCUUUCUUCUCAUCUUUAUAAUCUCUCCUCUCUUUAGUUUUUGGGAAAAUUUGUUUUUUGGCAUCGUUUUCCUGGAAGGCAUAACUGUGCCAACAGCUAGGGUCUUUUUUUCCCAAAGUUUAUCAAAUAACUCAGGAGAGGAAAACCACCUAUCAAAAUAGAUAUGAUAGCCUUGUCCAUAAAACCUCUUUGCCAGCCUGUCCACGAGGUUCGGAAUGGAGUUGUGCUCUGGCUGCUCAGGAUCCUUGCCAGUGUAGAUAUCAAGAUUGUAAGAAAAUCCAGAUACAGCUUCACAAAUCUGGAAUAUCUUGAUGCCAUAUUUAUGAGGUUUUCCUUUUAUAUACACUCGAAAACCCACACGUCCUCUGAAUGGACACAUCGCCUCAUCAAUAUUGAGAUUUUGCUGAAGAGUGUAGGCAUUCCCAAAAGAAUAUAUGAGGGAUUCCAAAACUGGUCUUAUUUUGAAGAGUCUGUCAUGCCCUGGUUUUCCAUAUUCAAUGUAUUUUGAAUUGUCAUUCAAAUGUAGCAUUGACAAAAUUCUCAUAAAUAGUGUCCUUGGCAUAUUUAUGGACUGGCAAAAGGCAUUCUUCAGGAAUCCGUGAGUAGACCAGUAGUCUUUCAUCCCAGGCUUCUUCACCAAAGACAUGUGUAUGAUGACACAGAAAAAGAGCUUUAUCUGUGCCACUGACAUAUCCUUCCACUUAGCCAGCAUGCCAUGAGGCUUGAGAGGACCCUUCUUGGACUCCCGAUCAAUAAUACUCCUGGCAUAUCGGUUUGUUUCCUCUUUGAUGCUUUUGAAAAUAUUCUCUGUAAAGAAGAGACUGAACGCAUCAAAUGGUGAGGAAACAUCCCCCACUAAAUUUAGUCCAGGGCGGGCGGUGAAAGGGGGAGGAGUUGGGGGCGAGGGAUCAUCUUUCCUCCAGGUGCCGGCGGCAACAUUGGAGCCAGCGGCGGCAGUGGACGUGUCCCGACAUGUCGUCAGCAUGCGAACUGGAGCUACUUCUAAUUGCGGCCGUUUAGCAGGAAUUACUUCCCUUUCUUCCUCCUCAAAUUCUAAUUCAUCGGAGGCUGAAUUUUCGUAAUCAGGAUCCUUCACUUCAUCAUUAAUUUCUGAGCCAGAAUCGUAAAGAUAUUCAAGAAUAUCUUGAAUGUCUUCAUCUAAAUGAACUUCUGAUCCCAAACCUUUUGAAGUGCUAGGUUGAUCCAAAGGAUUCAUUUCAAUAACGUUAUGAAAUUAGAGGCAAAAUAACUUAGAAAAAAACGAGCGAAAAGAGAUUAGAGAUAACAAAAACAAACUUGCCUGUUAUCAGUUUGUCAGCAAGCUAGCCAAUGAGAUUGAGCAACAGAUGACUAAUCUUUUUGCCUGCCAACAGUAUCGUCCUGACAUCUAGUGAUCAUUUUUGUAACUAUUCAUGAUAGGCCGAUGAUUUGCCGAAGAGAUUUCUUGACGUACUUCGUUCUAUGAUUUUCUAUUGAGUUUUAAAGUGCCGCGAUGUAUAAAAACGGGGUUGGUCCGCUAGGCUUAAUAGCUUAUGACGUAUAAAAACGGGGUUGGUCUUCAAAGUGUUAAUAAAUAAAUUUUAAUGUAUUAAAGGCAUCCACUGCUGCUGCUGCAGGUGUUAUUGAUUUUGUGUUUAAAUCUUUUAUAAUAACACAGAAAUGGAAUAUUGAAAUAAAAUGUUAUCAUAAUCAUUGUGGCUACAUUGUAUAAAGAUUUAUAUAUUUAAAAGGAAAUUAUUUGCAAAUAUCAAAAUAACUAAAAUAUUUUAAUACUGAAAUUUAAAAAUAAAAUAUUGUUAAUUAGUGCAUGAAGCCUAAAUCCCAGCGUAAAAAAACAACAACAAAAAAAACAAUAACACUCGUGACAUUGCGCAAUUAUGAAACUUAAACUAACCAGGAACCAAAAGUGCACGCGCGCGAUCCUAUCGGCGCCCGCUGAUCGCCGCCUUAAUACCAUUUUAGCAGAAAGUUGUAAGUAAAAAACAUUCAACUGUCGAAAUUCAAAUUUUAAAAUAGUCGAAAUAUCGGAAGUGUCGUAUUAUCGAUAUGUCGAAUUACGGUUUGUUAUUUGAUAGGCCGGAGGUCGGGACAUCAGAACAUGGUCGAAUUAUCGCCGAGUGUCGAAUUAGGGUGUGUCGAAUUAACGAGGUUAUACUGUAAAUGAAUGUAUGUGUGUCUGUCUGUCCUUUAUGCCUGACCAAACCACUCAUUGGAACGCCAUGAAACUUUGGGAAGUUAUUUAGUAUAGUACUGGGAAGGUUUCUAGCAAAUAAAAUUUUUUAAAUAACUUUUCGCCUAAAAAUAAUCAAGAUAAAUAUUCUAAUUUAUCUGUUAUAAUUCAACAAUCUGCUCUAAAUAUUAUCAUGAUGAUACGAUGAUUUUGUAAUGUAGAAAAUUAGGAAAGACAAAAUUCAGGAUGACACAACAAUUUAUUUGAGACAAGAAUAAUGAUACAAUUCCAAGGCAAGAUACUAUUCCGUUAACUUCCAAUUACCGAGGGAACCAAUUAAUAUUGAUUUUAUUCAACUUAUCGAGUAUUUUUCAAGGGACCGGGAAAAAAUGUUCACUUUAUCGAGAGAUUCGUUAGACAAACCUUUUCUCGGGUAAAACCCGGGUGAAGCCAGGUACGUCCGCUAGUUACUUUAUAUUUAUAAAAUGCGCAUUUAAAUGACUUUUCCCGGUGUGUGUGUGAUUGAGCAAAUGUUGAUUAAGGCUGUGUUUAUAUUUUGAUCUAUAGUCGCAAAACUCAUUUAAAUGGCUUUUCACCUGUGUGCAUUAAUAUAUGCUUUUUAAGACAAUCACUAUAAACUGUUGUAUAUUCACAAUAUUCACAUUUAAAGGGCUUUUCACCAGUGUGUUUUAAUAUAUGUCUUUUAAGAUUAUAAUUAUUAAUUGUUCUAUAUUCACAAUAUUCACAUUUAAAAGGCUUUUCACCUGUGUGUUUUAAAAAAUGUCUUUUAAGCAUACUACUAUGAAUUGUCCUAUAUUCACAAUAUUCACAUUUUAAAGGCUUUUCACCAGUAUGUGUAAGGAGAUGAAUUUUAAGAUUAUCCUUGUGAUUUGCUCUGUAUUCACAAUAUUCACAUUUAAAAGGCUUUUCACCAGUGUGUUUUAAUAUAUGCCUUUUAAGACCACUACUAUAAAUUGUUCUAUAUUCACAAUAUUCACAUUUAAAGGGCUUUUCAUCAGUGUGUUUUGAUAUAUGUGCUUUAAGACUAUUACUAUGAAUUGUUCUAUAUUCACAAUAUUCACAUUUAAAAGGCUUUUCACCUGUGUGUUUUAUUAUGUGAGUUUUAAGACUACUACUAUAAUUUGUUCUAUAUUCACAAUAUUCACAUUUUAAAGGCAUUUCACCAGUAUGUGUAAGGAGAUGACUUUUAAGAUAAUCCUUAUGAAAUGUUCUGUAUUGACAAUAUUCACAUUUUAAAGUCUUUUCAUUGUGUGUCACCAAAUGCUUAUUAAAGGUUCUUUUAUUAUUUGCUUUAUACUCACAAAACUCGCAUUCUAAGAGAUUUUCACCAGUGUGCAUCAUCAAAUGUUGAUUAAGGGUACUUAUAUCUAUUGCUCUAUAAUCACAAAAAUCACAUUUAUGGGGCUUUUCACUUGUAUGAGUUAUCAAAUGUUGAGUAAGUGUAUGUUUAUAUAUUGUUCUAUAUUCACAAAACUCGCAUUUAAAUGGCUUUUCACCUGUGUGCACAAGAAAAUGCUUUUGAAAAAGAAGAUUUUCAAAUGUCUCGAAUUCACAAUAUUCACAUUUAAAGGGCUUUUCACCUUUGUGUAUUAAUAUAUGUCUUUUAAGUCUACUACUAUGAAUUGUUUUAUAUUUACAAUAUUGACAUUUAAAAGGCUUUUCACCAGUAUGUAUAAAGAGAUGAGUUUUGAGAUUACCCUUGUGAAAUGUUCUGUAUUCACAAUAUUCACAUUUAAAAGGAUUUUUAUCAGUUUGCAUCGUAAAAUGUUGAUUAAGGGUACUUAUAUCUCUUGCUCUAUAAACAUAAAAUUCAAUUUUUGGGGUUUUUCACCAGUAUGAGUAUCAAUUGUUGAGUUAUGUAAAUUCGAUUCUUGCUUUGUAGUCACAAAACUCACAAUUUAAAGGUCAUUUUACAUGUAUGAUUGACCAAAUGGGAAUGAAUAUUGAAUUUCCUUUUAGUUUGGUAAUUACAAACGUCACACUUGUAGAACAUUUAUUUUUUCUUUUGCUACAAAUGAAUGCUUUUCAACUUGGCUAUCACUCUUUAGGUUUUGAUUAGGUUGGUUACACUCUAAAUAUCCCCGAGAGGAAAAUAAUGGAAUUUUUUAAUUAAGAUGCACUUGAUAUUUUAUAUUUAUAAUAUUUGCACCAAAGAGAUUUUCAAAAAUGUUACUUAUUGACAUAUGGAGCAACAAUUCUUUAUGUUAACAUGCCAUUAGAUAAAAGUCAUAUAUAUUUAAUAUAUAUAUUUUCUUAUUAGAAAAGGUUUGUAUUUCUCACAAAUCUACAAAAACAAAUUGCUAAAAUGGAGUUAAUUAUUUUUUAACGUAGAAUAUGGAUCAAGCUUUGAAUGUUUUUGUUUCCUUAAAUGAAAAUGCUUUCUUCAUAGUUAAUUUAGGUGACAAUUUCCAUUGUUACUGGGAUAAUAUUCAGGAAGGAAAAGGGAGUCGCUUUUCAUCCUGCAAAAUAAAAAAUAUAGGUAAGCAUCAUUAUUAAAGACAAACAAACACACACAUAUAGCCAUUUAAAUAAAAAACUAGUAUUAAUAAUUUACAAGGCAAACACUAAAUGAUAUCAAAAAUAACACUUAUCAUCAGGUUAUGACAAUAAGAGAACUUGAUCACAAUCUCCUUGAUAACAUCAUUGAGAAAAUAUUCAAUCUUUGAAUACACUAAGCAACCAUAGUGUAACCUCUUUAACUGAAUACAAUUUAACACACUUACUUCAUUUCAUUGGGAAAUUUGAUUCCCUCAAGGGGAGGGGUAUAAAUUUUAAAAAGUUUUCAAAAUUAAAUAUAAAAUUGCCGACGGUGGACACGAAUUCGCAUCCACUGCGUUCUUGUCCCAUAACUUCUUAUCUAUCAGUGGGGGUUGGGGGGAUGUCAGCUGACCCAAUGUACCUGUAA